This 253-nucleotide ribosomal RNA is filed under the name uncultured bacterium. Its description in RNAcentral is "partial 16S ribosomal RNA". It matches the Rfam family "Bacterial small subunit ribosomal RNA", at positions 524 to 776 of the family's 1533-position model. The record is from RNAcentral.
UACGUAGGUGGCAAGCGUUAUCCGGAUUUAUUGGGCGUAAAGGGAACGCAGGCGGUCUUUUAAGUCUGAUGUGAAAGCCUUCGGCUUAACCGGAGUAGUGCAUUGGAAACUGGGAGACUUGAGUGCAGAAGAGGAGAGUGGAACUCCAUGUGUAGCGGUGAAAUGCGUAGAUAUAUGGAAGAACACCAGUGGCGAAAGCGGCUCUCUGGUCUGCAACUGACGCUGAGGUUCGAAAGCGUGGGUAGCAAACAGG